UUAAUUGUUGCUUAUUUAAUGUGGAUGAAAUUGAGGGUACUGUAAAGGAAAUUUUAAAUAUGAUAAGAAGAAUUGUUGGUGGAUGUACCUUUUGUAUAAGGGUUUUACAAUUGUUGUUAUUGAAUAUAAACUCCCGAAGAAAUAAGAGCUACUAAAAAUAACAUUUAUUGUAACACUAAUAAAUAAUAUUUUUUAGUAGAGGUGAAAUGCUAUGCGUUUAUUUGGAUAUCUGGUUGCUAGAGUUUUUAUUUUAGGUAAACUGUUCCUUGAGAAAGGAGGUAGAGGUACGGAAUGGUAAGAGUAGUUGGGAUUAGCUAAUUAUUUAUUUAUAUAUGAGAUAAAAUUUUGUAGUUUGUGAUUAAAGAUAUCAAUUGUUUUUGUUAUAAAGGAGCUUAUUUAGGGUUUAUGUUAUUAAGUUUUUAUCUGGCUGGUGUAUGUAAUAAAAUAAUAUGUAAGAUAAUGUGAAAAUUAGUAGAGAGUGAAAUUUUUAAUUAGUUGAAGGCUAUUGAUAGUUGAAGAUAAGGUAAUUGCUUUUAAUGAAUUCGGCAAUAUGACUUUGUGCAUGUUUAACAAAAACUUGGUUUUUAGGGAUAAUUAAAAGUCUAGCCUGCCAAUUGUAGUAUGAAGGGCCGCAGUAAAUUGACUGUGCGAAGGUAGCGUAAUCAUUUGUCUUUUAAUUGAAGACUUGUAUGAAAGGUUGAACACAGAGUAACUUUAUUGUAAGUAUUUAUUGAACUUGCACGUCUUAUGAAAAUGUAAGAGUGGAAUUAAGGGACGAGAAGACCCUAAGAGCUUUAUUCUUCCUUUUUUUUUUUUUUGACAAAAAAGGAAGAAUUUAACUGGGGUGGUUUUGAAAGAUUGAAAUCUUUUGAUAAUGUUGAUUUGAGUUGUAGAUUAAGAAGGUCCACGUAGGGUGAUUGUGAGAGUGAGUUACCUUAGGGAUAACAGCGUUAUAUAUUUAGGGAGAUCUAAUUUCUGAAUAUGUUUGCGACCUCGAUGUUGAAUUAACUGUUGCUGCUUGGGGUAGGUUUUGAGUUGGUGAGUCUGUUCGACUUUUGAAACGUUACAUGAUUUGAGUUCAGAUCGGCGUGAGCCAGAUUGGUUUCUAUCUUUAAUUUGUGAGUGAUUGAUUUGUACGAAAGGACUUUUGAUUAUCAAUUGGUUGUG
RNAcentral lists this ribosomal RNA (1167 nucleotides) under Ricinoides karschii. Its description in RNAcentral is "16S ribosomal RNA". The stretch from base 744 to 1119 matches the Rfam family "Bacterial large subunit ribosomal RNA", at positions 2049 to 2651 of the family's 2925-position model. The record is from RNAcentral. Lineage: Eukaryota; Metazoa; Arthropoda; Arachnida; Ricinulei; Ricinoididae.